This is a long non-coding RNA of Sebastes umbrosus (honeycomb rockfish), 1335 nucleotides long. RefSeq lists it as uncharacterized. NCBI's taxonomy places the organism in Eukaryota, Metazoa, Chordata, Actinopteri, Perciformes, Sebastidae. The record is from RefSeq and is a predicted model, not a curated record. The transcript has 2 exons.
CUGAUUUAGUGUGGAGGCCGCUGGCUUGCACCAUUUUGAGUCAGCUAGGUGGACUGGGACUGAACAGAUCUUUGUUUCUGAUGGAUUUAAAACAGACUGACAUCAAGGAAUUACCAGUUUUCUAUCGUGGACUGUUUAAGGUGUGGAGCCUCCUUAAUAAAAAAAGGCUGGGACAUCACUGCUCAAUGUACUGGCUGCUCCAGGAACCAGUUCUUUAUGGGACCCGUUUCAGUGCAGUCUGUCAGGUGGGGCCGACUCUGCUCCGGCGGUUCUGUGAGUCUAAUGUGGUGACUCUGGGACAUGUAGUUCAGCUCGCAGGUGCAAACUUGGACAAUGCAGCUCCUCUUGCCUGCCGCCUAGAGGUGAAAUCGACUCGAGCUAUCUCUCUUCUGCUCAAUAGAUGGAGAGAAGCUCUCACAGUUAGUGAGCGGACUAUGUUACAGCAGUAUUGUGACGGCUCUGUUAAACCUGAUGAUAAUGAUGUAUUCCCUUCGGUGAACAUUUUCCCAGAUUUUAAGGACUGUACAGGAUUGUUUUUAAAGAGUGGGAGUUCCUCUGAGUUUUCUUUCCAAGAUGCAAAAGGAAAAUUAAUGUAUAAAACGUUUGUCAAAGUUUUGCACAGGGACAAAUUAAAUGGUAAAACUGACACUCCAUGGAGAGCUCACUUAGGUCUCAGUGACAGUGUUGGACCUGAAUGGAGAGCGCUGUAUAAACCACCAUUGACCUGCAGUGGAGGGUUAUACAUGGUAUCGUGGCUUUGAAUGCUUUUGUCUCUGUCAUUAAUUCUGAUGUCAGUCAUGAAUGUCCAUUUUGCACUCAUCGUGAGACUGUUUUUCAUUGUUUCAUGGAGUGUUGUCGACUGCUGCCGCUGUUCACAAUGUUGGGACAGUUUUUUGGACUGUUUGGGGAAGUUUUCUCCAAACGUGUUUUCAUUCUGGGAUACAGGUACUCUCAGGAGAGUAAAGACAAAUGCCAGCUUUUUAACUUCAUUCUGGGGACUGCAAAGAUGGCCGUGUAUCUGAGCAGGAGAAACCGAAUAGAGAAAGCGGUGGAUGAUGAUGCUGUGUUUGUGUUUGUGUUUGUAAAAAUGGUGAAAGCUCGUUUAAAAAUAGAUUUUAAUUAUUACAGAAUGAUGAAGGAUCUGGAAAGAUUCUCCAGUGUAUGGUGUUGUAAAAAUGUGCUUUGUCGUGUUGUAGAUGACGAGCUGUCCUUCGGAAAUGUAUUGACAUGAUUUGGAUUCUGUGAAUCUUGUUUUAAUGACGUGUUGUUCUUGAACCUCAACUACUGUUGAGGUUUUUGUUAAAUCUUGAAUAUUUAAUAAAGUAUUGUUAAAAU